RNAcentral lists this ribosomal RNA (250 nucleotides) under uncultured bacterium. RNAcentral describes it as "partial 16S ribosomal RNA". It matches the Rfam family "Bacterial small subunit ribosomal RNA", at positions 524 to 773 of the family's 1533-position model. The record is from RNAcentral.
UACGGGGGGGGCAAGCGUUGUUCGGAAUUACUGGGCGUAAAGGGUUCGUAGGUGGCUCGCUAAGUCAGACGUGAAAUCCCUCAGCUUAACUGGGGAACUGCGUCUGAGACUGGCGAGCUUGAGUGCAGGAGAGGAACGCGGAAUUCCAGGUGUAGCGGUGAAAUGCGUAGAUAUCUGGAGGAACACCGGUGGCGAAGGCGGCGUUCUGGACUGCAACUGACACUGAGGAACGAAAGCCAGGGUAGCAAAC